RNAcentral lists this ribosomal RNA (253 nucleotides) under uncultured bacterium. RNAcentral describes it as "partial 16S ribosomal RNA". It matches the Rfam family "Bacterial small subunit ribosomal RNA", at positions 524 to 776 of the family's 1533-position model. The record is from RNAcentral.
UACGUAGGUGGCAAGCGUUGUCCGGAAUUAUUGGGCGUAAAGCGCGCGCAGGCGGCUUCUUAAGUCUGAUGUGAAAGCCCACGGCUCAACCGUGGAGGGUCAUUGGAAACUGGGGAGCUUGAGUGCAGAAGAGGAGAGUGGAAUUCCAUGUGUAGCGGUGAAAUGCGUAGAUAUAUGGAGGAACACCAGUGGCGAAGGCGACUCUCUGGUCUGUAACUGACGCUGAGGCGCGAAAGCGUGGGGAGCAAACAGG